AUAUUGGACAAUGGGGGGAACCCUGAUCCAGCCAUGCCGCGUGUGUGAAGAAGGUCUUCGGAUUGUAAAGCACUUCAAGUUGGGGGGAAGAGUUGUAGGCUAAUACCUUACAAUUUUGACGUUACCAUCAGAACAUGCACCGGCUAACUUCGUGCCAGUAGCCGCGGUCAUACGAAGGGUGCAAGCGUUAAUCGGAGUUACUGUGCGUAAAGCGCGCGUAGGAGGUUCGUUAAAUUGGAAGUGAAAGCCCCGGGCGUAACCUGGGAAUUGCUUUUAAAACUGACGAGAUAGAGUACGGUAGAGGGUAGUGGAAUUUCCUGUGUAGCGGUGAAAUGCGUAGAGAUAGGAAGGAACAUCAGUGGCGAAGGCGACUACCUGGACUGAUACUGACACUGAGGUGCGAAAGCGUGGGGAGCAAACAGG
This 423-nucleotide ribosomal RNA is filed under the name uncultured bacterium. Its description in RNAcentral is "partial 16S ribosomal RNA". It matches the Rfam family "Bacterial small subunit ribosomal RNA", at positions 361 to 776 of the family's 1533-position model. The record is from RNAcentral.